Molecule: ribosomal RNA, 440 nt
Filed under: uncultured bacterium
Lineage: Bacteria
Description: partial 16S ribosomal RNA
Rfam family: Bacterial small subunit ribosomal RNA
Source: RNAcentral
CCUACGGGAGGCAACAGUGGGGGAUAUUGCACAAUGGGGGAAACCCUGAUGCAGCGACGCCGCGUGGGUGAAGAAGCGCCUCGGCGCGUAAAGCCCUGUCAGCAGGGAAGAAAAUGACGGUACCUGAAGAAGAAGUCCCGGCUAACUACGUGCCAGCAGCCGCGGUAAUACGUAGGGGGCAAGCGUUAUCCGGAUUUACUGGGUGUAAAGGGGGCGCAGACGGCGAUGCAAGCCAGGAGUGAAAGCCCGGGGCCCAACCCCGGGACUGCUCUUGGAACUGCGUGGCUAGAGUGCAGGAGGGGCAGGCGGAAUUCCUGGUGUAGCGGUGAAAUGCGUAGAUAUCAGGAGGAACACCGGUGGCGAAGGCGGCCUGCUGGACUGCAACUGACGUUGAGGCCCGAAAGCGUGGGGAGCAAACAGGAUUAGAUACCCCAGUAGUC